CUUCCGUCCACCUAUUUAAGUACUAAAGUUUGGCUCAUGUGGUUCUGUACCAUAGUGAAAAAAUAUGGUUGUUAGAGUUAGGUUAACCAUAUUCACAUGACAAAGGUUCACAUGUAAUGAUUGUGCUAGUUUUGCUCGUGUUGCGAACAUUGUCAGUGAUUUCUAAAUUAGAUGCUGAAAUUUGUGGAAUUUUGUGAUGUAUUGAAGAAAGAAAAACUUUUUUGGAAUCGUUUUCUCGCUGAAUUCAUCCGGCGAACUGGAAAAUUUUACUGUCGAGUGAAAAUGAGUUGAUUUAUAAACAUACCUACCAACUUACCUACUCUUUAAUAAUGCUCACACUUUGGGAGCCCUCGCGUAAUCCAACACCGAUCGAGGCGAAAUCAAUUCGAAGGGGUAAAAUAUAUCCUACCUAAACCUA
Planococcus citri (citrus mealybug) is the source of this 418-nucleotide long non-coding RNA. RefSeq lists it as uncharacterized. The transcript is spliced from 2 exons. NCBI's taxonomy places the organism in Eukaryota, Metazoa, Arthropoda, Insecta, Hemiptera, Pseudococcidae. The record is from RefSeq and is a predicted model, not a curated record.